CAGAGGGUGCGAGCGUUAAUCGGAUUUACUGGGCGUAAAGCGUGCGUAGGCGGCUUUUUAAGUCGGAUGUGAAAUCCCCGAGCUUAACUUGGGAUUGCAUUCGAUACUGGGAAGCUAGAGUAUGGGAGAGGAUGGUAGAAUUCCAGGUGUAGCGGUGAAAUGCGUAGAGAUCUGGAGGAAUACCGAUGGCGAAGGCAGCCAUCUGGCCUAAUACUGACGCUGAGUACGAAAGACAUGGGAGGCAAACAGGAUU
RNAcentral lists this ribosomal RNA (253 nucleotides) under uncultured bacterium. Its description in RNAcentral is "partial 16S ribosomal RNA". It matches the Rfam family "Bacterial small subunit ribosomal RNA", at positions 526 to 779 of the family's 1533-position model. The record is from RNAcentral.